CCUACGGGAGACAGCAGUGAGGAAUAUUGGUCAAUGGGCGCUAGCCUGAACCAGCCAAGUCGCGUGAAGGAUGACUGCCCUAUGGGUUGUAAACUUCUUUUAUAUGGGAAUAAAGUGCAGUAUGUAUACUGCUUUGCAUGUACCUUAUGAAUAAGAAUCGGCUAACUCCGUGCCAGCAGCCGCGGUAAUACGGAGGAUCCGAGCGUUAUCCGGAUUUAUUGGGUUUAAAGGGAGCGUAGGCGGGUUGUUAAGUCAGUUGUGAAAGUUUGCGGCUCAACCUUAAAACUGCAGUUGAUACUGGCAGCCUUGAGUACAGUAGAGGUAGGCGGAAUUCGUGGUGUAGCGGUGAAAUGCUUAGAUAUCACGAAGAACUCCGAUUGCGAAGGCAGCCUGCUGGACUGUAACUGACGCUGAUGCACGAAAGUGUGGGUAUCAAACAGGAUUAGAUACCCCAGUAGUC
RNAcentral lists this ribosomal RNA (460 nucleotides) under uncultured bacterium. RNAcentral describes it as "partial 16S ribosomal RNA". It matches the Rfam family "Bacterial small subunit ribosomal RNA", at positions 338 to 795 of the family's 1533-position model. The record is from RNAcentral.